RNAcentral lists this ribosomal RNA (497 nucleotides) under uncultured bacterium. RNAcentral describes it as "partial 16S ribosomal RNA". It matches the Rfam family "Bacterial small subunit ribosomal RNA", at positions 28 to 507 of the family's 1533-position model. The record is from RNAcentral.
GAUGAACGCUGGCGGCGUGCCUAAUACAUGCAAGUCGAGCGAACGGACGAGAAGCUUGCUUCUCUGAUGUUAGCGGCGGACGGGUGAGUAACACGUGGAUAACCUACCUAUAAGACUGGGAUAACUUCGGGAAACCGGAGCUAAUACCGGAUAAUAUUUUGAACCGCAUGGUUCAAAAGUGAAAGACGGUCUUGCUGUCACUUAUAGAUGGAUCCGCGCUGCAUUAGCUAGUUGGUAAGGUAACGGCUUACCAAGGCAACGAUGCAUAGCCGACCUGAGAGGGGGAUCGGCCACCUUGGAACUGAGACACGGUCCAGACUACUACGGGAGGCAGCAGUAGGGAAUCUUCCGCAAUGGGCGAAAGCCUGACGGAGCAACGCCGCGUGAGUGAUGAAGGUCUUCGGAUCGUAAAACUCUGUUAUUAGGGAAGAACAUAUGUGUAAGUAACUGUGCACAUCUUGACGGUACCUAAUCAGAAAGCCACGGCUAACUACGUG